RNAcentral lists this ribosomal RNA (446 nucleotides) under uncultured bacterium. Its description in RNAcentral is "partial 16S ribosomal RNA". It matches the Rfam family "Bacterial small subunit ribosomal RNA", at positions 338 to 795 of the family's 1533-position model. The record is from RNAcentral.
CCUACGGGCGGCAGCAGUCGAGAAUCAUUCACAAUGGGGGAAACCCUGAUGGUGCGACGCCGCGUGGGGGAAUGAAGGUCUUCGGAUUGUAAACCCCUGUCAUGUGGGAGCAAAUUAAAAAGAUAGUACCACAAGAGGAAGAGACGGCUAACUCUGUGCCAGCAGCCGCGGUAAUACAGAGGUCGCAAGCGUUGUUCGGAAUCACUGGGCGUAAGGCGUGCGUAGGCUGUUUCGUAAGUCGUGUGUGAAAGUCGCGGGCUCAACCCGCGGACGGCAUAUGAUACUGCGAGACUAGAGUAAUGGAGGGGGAACCGGAAUUCUCGGUGUAGCAGUGAAAUGCGUAGAUAUCGAGAGGAACACUCGUGGCGAAGGCGGGUUCCUGGACAUUAACUGACGCUGAGGCACGAAGGCCAGGGGAGCGAAAGGGAUUAGAUACCCGUGUAGUC